AUUGAAAAUUUGUCCUCUCAUAUUAUCAUGUUUAAUAUAUGGUGGGAUAUGAAACAUACGU
This 61-nucleotide non-coding RNA is filed under the name Plasmodium falciparum 3D7. The record is from RNAcentral. Lineage: Eukaryota; Apicomplexa; Aconoidasida; Haemosporida; Plasmodiidae.